RNAcentral lists this ribosomal RNA (464 nucleotides) under uncultured bacterium. Its description in RNAcentral is "partial 16S ribosomal RNA". It matches the Rfam family "Bacterial small subunit ribosomal RNA", at positions 28 to 507 of the family's 1533-position model. The record is from RNAcentral.
GACGAACGCUGGCGGCGUGCUUAACACAUGCAAGUCGAACGGUAAGGCCCUUUCGGGGGUCCACGAGUGGCGCACGGGUGAGUAACACGUGGGUGAUCUGCCCUGCACUUUGGGAUAAGCCUGGGAAACUGGGUCUAAUACCGGAUAGGACUACGCGAUGCAUGUCGUGUGGUGGAAAGCUUUUGCGGUGUGGGAUGGGCCCGCGGCCUAUCAGCUUGUUGGUGGGGUGAUGGCCUACCAAGGCGACGACGGGUAGCCGGCCUGAGAGGGUGUCCGGCCACACUGGGACUGAGAUACGGCCCAGACUCCUACGGGAGGCAGCAGUGGGGAAUAUUGCACAAUGGGCGCAAGCCUGAUGCAGCGACGCCGCGUGGGGGAUGACGGCCUUCGGGUUGUAAACCCCUUUCAGCACAGACGAAGCGUAAGUGACGGUAGGUGCAGAAGAAGCACCGGCCAACUACGUG